CAGCCGUCCCUGAUUAGUCUCCUGUGUAUUCAAGUCCUUGUCCCUCGCUCUUUCUUGUCGCACUUCCCCCCCCUGAAGUUCAGCGUGUUAUGCAGACAUUUGCUGAAAGGCGCUACAGGAAUUCGCCAGAAUGACAACACAAGGUUUGGAUUAUUUGAACGUCUGUCCAGUGUCGGGACUUUUUAUAAUGAGCCAAUCGGAGAUGAGCUUUUUGUGGGUGGUCGGCUCCACAACCGUGUCUCAGAAAGCUUGAGCCAGGGACGUCUUCACCUGCCAAAGAUCAUCUCCUGUUGUGGUCCACCUGUUUCCAUUCUUCUUGGGUGGACCAAAUGGCAGAUUAUUAAUGGCACCAUUCCACAUCUCAGAGGGGGAAACAUUUCUGGUAGCCUGCAGCCAUCCCUUCCAGACAGUUAUACCAUUUGAAUGAAGAUAAAUGGCUGACUGGUGCCAGAAGUAACUUGGACAAAAUUGGAAGCGUUGGGAUUUUGAGGGUGCACAAAAAAUAUGACCAACCUUCCCAAGCCACCAGAAAUAUGUAUGUGGAGGUAAAAUCAGUGAUCUGUUGAUCUUUACAUUUCUAGCAUUGACAGAGCUGUCAGUGCUGAAAAAAUGUUUUCCAAUCAAAUCGCAAGUCAAAUUGAAUCAAGAAUUCGAUGAAUCUUAACACCCCAAGUAUAUAUUGGAACAAAAUGAGGACAUUCAUUCAUUUUGCUAAAUAAAUGAUUGGUUAAAUUAAGCAGUUACUGUAUCUUUCAUGUCAUAAUAUGUUAAUUAAUCCUGCAGUCUUUCUGUAGAAGCAGAUCAUAUCUCAGCCUUUUCUACGCGUU
This is a long non-coding RNA of Acanthopagrus latus (yellowfin seabream), 827 nucleotides long. RefSeq lists it as uncharacterized. The transcript is spliced from 5 exons. NCBI's taxonomy places the organism in Eukaryota, Metazoa, Chordata, Actinopteri, Spariformes, Sparidae. The record is from RefSeq and is a predicted model, not a curated record.